AUUUUGAUACGAUAAGUAGUAUUUUUGGAGUUUUGAAAAUGCAGUUUUGUGUCAUUUUAGAUGAUCAUGAUUUCCAAUAAAAACCAAGAAUUUAUUCCUUAUUUUUCUUUUGCAAGAAGUAAAACUUACGUUGCACAAUGCUGGACACUACAAUUCAAAUGAUGGUAAAGUCGUAUUUUCCUGACAGGUCAACCGUAAUACAAAAUGAACGGAUUUAAAAAAAUAAGCCAUUUAUAGGUUCAAGGAUUUUUUCACGUUCACACUAAGUACUUUAAAUGAAUAUUCAAUUGUAUUACGUUUAGAUUUGUCGUUUAAUGCGUUUUUAUUUUUUUUUUUCCAAAUUUUGAAUGAAUUUGUAAGAAUAUGACAAA
This 371-nucleotide long non-coding RNA is filed under the name Mytilus galloprovincialis (Mediterranean mussel). Lineage: Eukaryota; Metazoa; Mollusca; Bivalvia; Mytilida; Mytilidae. The record is from RNAcentral.